RNAcentral lists this transfer RNA (65 nucleotides) under Pseudolycoriella sp. XQM-2020. RNAcentral's name for it is "tRNA-Phe". Lineage: Eukaryota; Metazoa; Arthropoda; Insecta; Diptera; Sciaridae. The record is from RNAcentral.
AUUUAAAUAGCUUAAGUUAAGAGUAUAAUAUUGAAGAUAUUAAGGUAGUAAGAUAUUUUUAAAUA